RNAcentral lists this ribosomal RNA (694 nucleotides) under Corynebacterium sanguinis. RNAcentral's name for it is "bacterial SSU rRNA". It matches the Rfam family "Bacterial small subunit ribosomal RNA", at positions 28 to 734 of the family's 1533-position model. Lineage: Bacteria; Bacillati; Actinomycetota; Actinomycetes; Mycobacteriales; Corynebacteriaceae. The record is from RNAcentral.
GAUGAACGCUGGCGGCGUGCUUAACACAUGCAAGUCGAACGGAAAGGCCACAGCUUGCUGUGGUACUCGAGUGGCGAACGGGUGAGUAACACGUGGGUGAUCUGCCCUGUACUUCGGGAUAAGCUUGGGAAACUGGGUCUAAUACCGGAUAGGAAUCACAUGUGGGUGUGUGGUUGGAAAGCUUUUGCGGUAUGGGAUGAGCUCGCGGCCUAUCAGCUUGUUGGUGGGGUAAUGGCCUACCAAGGCGUCGACGGGUAGCCGGCCUGAGAGGGUGUACGGCCACAUUGGGACUGAGAUACGGCCCAGACUCCUACGGGAGGCAGCAGUGGGGAAUAUUGCACAAUGGGCGCAAGCCUGAUGCAGCGACGCCGCGUGGGGGAUGACGGCCUUCGGGUUGUAAACUCCUUUCGUCAGGGACGAAGCGAAAGUGACGGUACCUGGAUAAGAAGCACCGGCUAACUACGUGCCAGCAGCCGCGGUAAUACGUAGGGUGCGAGCGUUGUCCGGAAUUACUGGGCGUAAAGAGCUCGUAGGUGGUUUGUCGCGUCGUUUGUGUAAGUCCACGGCUUAACUGUGGGAUGGCAGGCGAUACGGGCAUAACUUGAGUGCUGUAGGGGAGACUGGAAUUCCUGGUGUAGCGGUGAAAUGCGCAGAUAUCAGGAGGAACACCGAUGGCGAAGGCAGGUCUCUGGGC